RNAcentral lists this ribosomal RNA (1059 nucleotides) under uncultured bacterium. RNAcentral describes it as "bacterial SSU rRNA". It matches the Rfam family "Bacterial small subunit ribosomal RNA", at positions 11 to 1070 of the family's 1533-position model. The record is from RNAcentral.
GUUUGAUCCUGGCUCAGGAUGAACGCUAGCGGCAGGCCUAACACAUGCAAGUCGAGGGGUAACAGAGAAGCUUGCUUCUGCUGACGACCGGCGCACGGGUGCGUAACGCGUAUGCAACCUACCUCAUACUGGAGAAUAGCCCUUGGAAACGAGGAUUAAUACUCCAUGGUAUCAUUCUUUCGCAUGUUAGAAUGAUUAAAGAAUUUCGGUAUGAGAUGGGCAUGCGUCCCAUUAGCUAGUUGGUGAGGUAACGGCUCACCAAGGCGACGAUGGGUAGGGGGCCUGAGAGGGUGGUCCCCCACACUGGUACUGAGACACGGACCAGACUCCUACGGGAGGCAGCAGUGAGGAAUAUUGGUCAAUGGAGGCAACUCUGAACCAGCCAUGCCGCGUGAAGGAUGACGGCCCUAUGGGUUGUAAACUUCUUUUAUAUGGGAAGAAACUUAUCUACGUGUAGAUAACUGACGGUACCAUACGAAUAAGGAUCGGCUAACUCCGUGCCAGCAGCCGCGGUAAUACGGAGGAUCCAGGCGUUAUCCGGAUUCAUUGGGUUUAAAGGGUCCGUAGGCGGAUUUUUAAGUCAGUGGUGAAAGCCGGCAGCUCAACUGUCGAACUGCCAUUGAUACUGGAAAUCUUGAGUACAAAUGAAGUAGGCGGAAUGAGUCAUGUAGCGGUGAAAUGCAUAGAUAUGACUCAGAACACCGAUUGCGAAGGCAGCUUACUAACAUGUAACUGACGCUGAGGGACGAAAGCGUGGGGAGCGAACAGGAUUAGAUACCCUGGUAGUCCACGCCGUAAACGAUCAUCACUCGCUGUUGGCGAUAUACUGUCAGCGGCCAAGCGAAAGUAUUAAGUGAUGCACCUGGGGAGUACGCCGGCAACGGUGAAACUCAAAGGAAUUGACGGGGGCCCGCACAAGCGGUGGAGCAUGUGGUUUAAUUCGAUGAUACGCGAGGAACCUUACCAGGGCUUAAAUGUAGUAUGACCGGUCUGGAAACAGACCUUCCCUUCGGGGCAGAUUACAAGGUGCUGCAUGGUUGUCUUCAGGCCCCAACCCGG